RNAcentral lists this ribosomal RNA (802 nucleotides) under bacterium OTU28. RNAcentral's name for it is "bacterial SSU rRNA". It matches the Rfam family "Bacterial small subunit ribosomal RNA", at positions 102 to 898 of the family's 1533-position model. The record is from RNAcentral.
ACGGGUGAGUAAUGUAUCGGAACGUGCCCAGUAGCGGGGGAUAACUACGCGAAAGCGUAGCUAAUACUGCAUACGCCCUACGGGGGAAAGGGGGGGACCUUCGGGCCUCGCACUAUUGGAGCGGCCGAUAUCGGAUUAGCUAGUUGGUGGGGUAACGGUUCACCAAGGCGACGAUCCGUAGCUGGUUUGAGAGGACGACCAGCCACACUGGGACUGACACACGGCCCAAACUCCUACGGGAGGCAGCAGUGGGGAAUUUUGGACAAUGGGGGCAACCCUGAUCCAGCCAUCCCGCGUGUGCGAUGAAGGCCUUCGGGUUGUAAAGCACUUUUGGCAGGAAAGAAACGGCGCUGGUUAAUACCUGGCGCAACUGACGGUACCUGCAGAAUAGGCACCGGCUAACUACGUGCCAGCAGCCGCGGUAAUACAUAGGGUGCAAGCGUUAAUCCCAAUUACUGGCCGCAAAGCGUGCGCAGGCGCUUCGAACAGAAAGAUGUGAAAUCCCAAGGCUUAUCCUUGGAGCUGCAUUUUUAACUACCGGGUUAGAGAGUGUCAGAGGGAGGUGGAGUUCCUCGUGUAUCAUUGAAAUGCGUAGAUAUGCGGAGGAACACCGAUGGCGAAGGCAGCCUCCUGGGAUAACACUGACGCUCAUGCACGACGAAAGCGUGGGGAGCAAACAGGAUUAGAUACCCUGGUAGUCCACGCCCUAAACGAUGUCAACUAGCUGUUGGGGCCUUCGGGCCUUGGUAGCGCAGCUAACGCGUGAAGUUGACCGCCUGGGGAGUACGGUCGCAAGAUUAAA